Molecule: ribosomal RNA, 55 nt
Filed under: Halopolyspora algeriensis
Lineage: Bacteria; Bacillati; Actinomycetota; Actinomycetes
Source: RNAcentral
CAGCGCCGAUGGUACUGCACCCCCGCGGGUGUGGGAGAGUAGGACACCGCCGACC